GUCCCUGUGGCUCAGUUGGUAGAGCAUGGUGUGUGCAAUGCCAGGGUUGUGGGUUCGAUUCCCACGGGGGGCC
This 73-nucleotide transfer RNA is filed under the name Salmo salar (Atlantic salmon). It matches the Rfam family "tRNA". Rfam says of the family: Transfer RNA (tRNA) molecules are approximately 80 nucleotides in length. Lineage: Eukaryota; Metazoa; Chordata; Actinopteri; Salmoniformes; Salmonidae. RNAcentral also lists the same sequence under 1 other name. The record is from Rfam by way of RNAcentral.